AGAACGAACGCUGGCGGCGUGGAUAAGACAUGCAAGUCGAGCGCUGAUUACAGGGUAGCAAUAUUCUGUAGUUGGAGCGGCGCAAGGGUGCGUAACACGUGGGUAAUCUGCCAUGAAGUUCGGGAUAACUCGCUGAAAGGCGAGCUAAUACCGAAUGUGAAAAUUAGGAGGCAUCUUCCGAUUUUCAAAGCUGGGGACCGUAAGGCCUGGCGCUUCAUGAUGAGCCCGCGGCCUAUCAGCUAGUUGGUGAGGUAACGGCUCACCAAGGCUAAGACGGGUAGCUGGUCUGAGAGGACGACCAGCCACACUGGAACUGAGACACGGUCCAGACACCUACGGGUGCAGCAGUCGAGAAUUUUCAC
This 362-nucleotide ribosomal RNA is filed under the name uncultured bacterium. Its description in RNAcentral is "SSU rRNA". It matches the Rfam family "Bacterial small subunit ribosomal RNA", at positions 26 to 368 of the family's 1533-position model. The record is from RNAcentral.